UAGAGAGAAGAGAGUUUAAUCGACUCUGCAGUAAUGCAGAGAGCCUGCACAGGUGCUGCAUGGCUGUCGUCAGCUCGUGUCGCGAGAUGUUGGGUUAAGUCCGCAACGAGCGCAACCCUUAUUGCCAGUUGCUAACAGGAGAGCUGAGCACUCUGGCGAGACUGCCGCCGACAAGGCGGAGGAAGGUGGGGAUGACGUCAAGUCAUCAUGGCCUUUAUGCCCAGGGCUACACACGUGCUACAAUGGCCGGCACAGACGGCAGCUUAGUGGCGACACUUGGCAAAUCCUCUAAAGCCGGUCCCAGUUCGGAUUGCAGUCUGCAACUCGACUGCAUGAAGCCGGAAUCGCUAGUAAUCGCAGAUCAGCCAAGCUGCGGUGAAUACGUUCCCGGGCCUU
RNAcentral lists this ribosomal RNA (396 nucleotides) under uncultured Thermovirga sp. Its description in RNAcentral is "bacterial SSU rRNA". It matches the Rfam family "Bacterial small subunit ribosomal RNA", at positions 993 to 1382 of the family's 1533-position model. Lineage: Bacteria; Thermotogati; Synergistota; Synergistia; Synergistales; Thermovirgaceae. The record is from RNAcentral.